Long non-coding RNA from Mirounga angustirostris (Northern elephant seal), 5862 nucleotides. RefSeq lists it as uncharacterized. NCBI's taxonomy places the organism in Eukaryota, Metazoa, Chordata, Mammalia, Carnivora, Phocidae. The record is from RefSeq and is a predicted model, not a curated record. The transcript is spliced from 2 exons.
GCCAGGCAGAGGGGGAAGGCUGCAGAGCCGCUGUCCCAGCUGGAUGGGCCCACUCCCCGCCUCAGGCCUCAGUUUCCCCAUUGAGCAAACAGGGAUAAUCACUCCCUCCUCGCUCACCACCUGCACCCCUCCCCCACACAGCAGAUAACAGAUGGGAGCAUUCUGGAGACUCUGGACCAUGAAAGCCCGAGGCAUGGGAGGUGACAACGCUGAGGUCGGCCAAAGGCAGAGAAAACCUGCAGGCGGUGGGGGUGGGGGUGGGGAAUGGGUUCAAGUCCCAGCUCUGUCCUGACCACAGCUUGGGCACAUGGCAGCCCUGUCUGGAGCUCAGUUUCCCCACCUGUAAACUGGGGAUGAUAACAUGACCUAUCUCAUCGUUGUGCGGACAAAGCGAGAAUUAUAUAUGAUGUGUCUGGCGUAUUGCAAUUAUAAUAAUAAUAGAAACAGAAAAGUACAUGGAAACGACCCAACAGUCCCCCGUAUCAACAAUGGGGGACACCUCAGAGUCUCCGUUUCUCAUGUGGAGAAGAAAUAUCUUAUACGCUUUCAAGGGGGCAGAUUGUAGAAAAACACAGAACCCGGUCAGACAGACUGGUUUGAGCCGUAGUUCUACCACACCGUGCUUGGCCCUGGGCAAGUCACUUUACUUCCACGGGCCUCAGUUUCCCCAUCUGCCAAAGCGGGUUGUGAUCCCUCACGGGGUUGCCAGGAGGCUCAGAAACACCGAGUGGGACAUGCCUGGUCUCAGGAUGAUCACGGGUUCUCCAGAAGCGCCAGUUCUCUAUCAAAUCCCCACUCCUCUCCCCUGCUUGGACACAGCCACUCCCCAGAAGGCAGGGUCUCGCUUUCUGUCCCCGGAGUCCCAGCAGAGAAAGGAGGCCUGUGGGAAGGGCCAGCGGCCUCCAGACGGCUGAGAGUGAGUCUCUGGGCUUGCCGGUGUGGAGCACUGUUUCUCUGUAGAAGGGCAUCGACGCGCUCGGCUUGUCCAGUGCACGGGCCGGCCAACUCUCCCUGGAAAGGGCUCGAUGGUGCAUCUUGUCCUCUCUGGAGGCCCGAUGAUCUCUGCUGCACCCCCUCACCUCUGCCACUCCUGCAGAGAUGAGUGGACACAAAUGGUGUAACUGGACCCCUGGAACACGAUGGACAAAGCCCAGCUGCAGGCCAGCUUUGACUCACGGACCACCGUUGGUCUAUACAGUGGUUUGAUCCCUUGUCCGGGUCUAGCACUAGUUUCUCUUAUGAGCCAGGGAGGUCCUGAGGUCUGAGAUGAAAGUGAGAUGAAGGGUCCACUUCGUUUCUUGGAGCAUGUCAGGCUCCCUCCUGUCUCAGGGUCUUGGUCUGGUGUUCCUUCCACCUGAAAUGCCCUUCCUUGCCCUCUUCACCUAAAAAGAAGCUACUCAUCCUUCAGAUCCCAGCUCAGACCUGCCUUCCUCAGGGAAGGCUUUCUUGACAGCCUGCUUCUCCCACCCCGAUCUCCCUCGGAGCCUGCAGAGUUUGGGAUUUGGAAGCAUCACCUCCUGCACUCGACGGAGGAGACGAGGAGGAGGAGGGAAUUGGCUAAGAAGCUUCGGGCUCAGAUGGCCUUUGCUUGGGCCACUACCCAUCCGGGGUGCUGCAUUCCAGAGGGGAGCCCUCCAGCCCCACAUUCCCGCCUCUUCUGAAGAGGUGGGCACCCCCUCAUCCUGGACACACGGUUCUGGACCAGACCAGCGUGGGCUGGGAUCCGUUACCAACCCUUUCCUGCGUGGCUGGGGGCAGCUUCUUUCAUUUCCCUGAGCUUCACUUCUUCCUCUGCACAAUGGAGGUGGCGGUGUCCAUCCUCCGGGACUGGUGAGAAGAUGCAGUGGAACACCGAGAGUCGCGGGAUCUCGGAAAAUGCUGCUACGGAGCCUUCCUCAUAUGACUAUGAUCACACUUACCACAAGGAGGGAUUAUCUUCUGCCUCCCCUGCCCAGCCAUGGGCCCCUUGGGAGUAAAGACUGUGUCUUAGACAUACGGCCACCCCCCCCCGCCCGGUCCAGGGGCACCUCCCACCUCAGGGCUCAUGAUUAGCGCCCCCUGGAGGUGUGCAGAGUGCAGGCAGCUCUGCUCACUGCUGAAUCCCCGCCCCUCGCCUGGGGCCUAGCCGGUGUUUCCCUCCUCAUUCACCCGUGACUCAUUCAUGCAUACAUUCCUUCAUUCAUUCCUGCACAAAUAUUUGUGGAGCAGAAGCAGACAUUUCCCCGCCCAUAAAGCAGACAUUGGAGGGGGAUGACAAGAUGACUCCUUCUUGCUCUACAUGCAAUGGUUUGGGGGAGACUGAGAAAAGCCCCCCCCUUUUCUCUGAAAGUGAUGUUCUUAUCUGAUGCCUGACAGUCCUCCUGAAGGCAGAAGCCCUGGCAGUCCCCAGUCACGAGGACCAGGACACUUGCCGGGGUGGGGGCGUUGUUUAAGAGCAGUAGCCGCGGGGGAGAGGAGCGAGCCCCCGGGGUGCAGCGGGGGACGGAGAGGCAGAGCCUGGGGCAGAGGGAUGUACAACUGGGCCCCAAACUGACCCUGGAGUCACCUUUAGAGUAAUCACCAGUGUGUGAGCCAUACGCUGUCCGGAAUGCUUACAGAUUCAUCCUCCUGGCCAGCCUAAGAGGCGGGUCCUGUGAUUACCCCCGGCUUACAGAGGAGGAAACCGAGGCCCAGAGAGGUGCCCCCAGAGGGUUCGUGGGGAGCCGGGCCACCAGCCCAGAGAGCCCAACUACAAAACGGCCCGUGCUUUUCAACCUGUUUGCUGAAUGACCUCUUGCCUCAGUUUCUCCACCUGUCAAGUGGGCCUUUCACGACCCUCCCUACAGACCCAACCAGGGGGUUGAGAGAAGUGUGGGGCUCCUCUGGAUGCUGAGAGCAGUUGAGGGGGGUGCCGGGGCCGUGAGCAAAGUGGGAAGGCCCAGGCUGUGGCAUCAGGCUUCCCAGCUGGGGGAGGGGGACAGCCGGUCACCCUCUGGCAACUUCUCCUGGCUCAUCUGCCAAACGGGGGUGACGCGUUGCGCCGACCGCCUGGGCUGCCUGGGGCCACGGCAGAGCUGUGUGUGUGUGUGUGUGUGUGUGUGUGUGUGUGUGUGCCAGCCCGUGGCCAGCCACCAGGCCCGCGUCCACAGGAGGUGCCGGCCGGGCACAUGGUGAGAGGCAAGUCUGCUUUGCCCCCGUGGUCUCCAGAAGUCGCGCAGAAAUGACAACCCCAAAGAACUCCAUAAAAUCCAAGUGGCAGUUACGGCGGACUUCUGAGUGAACAGGAGUAAUUAGCGCACUUCCCACAGAAAGUAAAACCCAAAUGUCAGGCAAUGCCAGGGCCAUUAAGGUGUCCUCUGCUCCAGCUCCCGCCCACCACUGGCUGGGCCUGCACCUCACUGCUGACCUUCUCAAAGACCACAGACAGCACAGCAGGAGGCUGCCCAGGCCCGAAGACAGGCCUGGGCGACGCGGGGGGGGCUUCACAUUCUGCUCAGCUCCGGUACCGACGGAGCCUCAUCUUUGACAUCUGUGAAAUGGGUUAUAUCUGCUCCAGGGGGAAUUAGAUUUGAUCAUGGGUCUAGAAUAUCAGGCACAGGGUAGCCACUCUCUGUGAAGUAGGUGCCACGAGGGCAAAUAGUGCCCCCAAAGCAGCAGGUGUAGCAGAUGCGACCAGCACCCUACCCAAAUCACCUUUGACCAGUGCGCAACCCCACCACCUGACCCCCACCGUUGGGCUGGCUGCUCAAGGCUCUCGGCUCCUUCCAACUCCAGAGGCAUGACCUCUGCCAAUGGGAGCUGGCCCCUGAGUGGGGGUUUUUCCAGGGCAGCCCACAGCCAAUUACUGGUUGAUACAAGGGUAAGAAAGUCAGCCCUUUGCUUCGAGAGCAGGGGGCAACUCUGUGGCACCUUUCAUGCUGCAGAGCUUCCUGGGGGAUCGGGCUGCAGCCAGACUCUAGUGCAAACCACACCUUUGUCCAGCUUCUUCCUCUGCUGUCCCCCCGGGUUCCCUCCCCUCUCGAUGGUGUCUCCUGCCUAUCCUCCUGCAAGAAAACACUCCCUGUGAAUCCCCUAGAAAGGGUGUUGUCUCUUGAGAUCAUAGGUGUUCAAUCAGACAUGUUGAAUCAAUAAAUAUAUUGUCUGUUAUUUUAAAAAAAUAAAAAAAAAAAAAAAAACAGGACCAGGACUAGGGCAGGGCAAGUGAGGAGCCUAGGACAUAAACUGUAGGUGCUCACACUUAGAGUUGUGCAGAUGCCCAGUGCCGCUAAAAAACUGGAAACCAGUUACAGUGAUCAAAUCAAGAACGAGCUAUUUAGGUCACGGGACAUCCCAAAACGGGGUGGAAGGUCAUGGUUGUGAAAUGGAUUCUUGACCCGGACGGAGUUCAAAUCCUGACUCUGUUGCAUCAUUGACUGUGACUUUGGGUAAGUCACCACACCUCUCUGAACCUGGGUUCUCUCUGCUCUAACAUGUGCAUGAUAAUACCUCCCUCAGAGCACUGUGGGAGGAUCUGAUGAGGUUGUGUUCAUGUACUUCGCACAGAGUACAUGCUCAGGAAAGAGUAGCCAUUGUGAUAACCUUUGGAAGUACUUAGAGCAGUUUUUGGAGAUGCCAGAGGUGGAAUGUCUCGUUCCCAGAUCUCCACUGCACCUGUUGAUUCUGCUUGCCACGUACUGCAUAGUAGAAUCAAUGAUCAGUUUUUAAUGAUGUGUACUUUCCCUCUGCUUACCAAUGGGCAGCCGAAUCAAUGUCUCAAGGAUCUUUGGAUCAAAAUCAUGAUGAAAUGAGGUGUGCAUAACACACCCCCUUCCAUGAACUGGCCCAAGCAGCUAAAAGGACGACCACAACAAAUGCCAUAGAAUCAGUACCCCCGCCAGAGGUGUGAUGACAAAGCAUGGGCUUUGGGGACCCCAUCUGGGCGUGUGUGGUUCCACUACCCACUCUGUGGCCUGAAGCCCAUUGUGUGGCCUUUCUCAGCCUCAGUUUAUGUGUCUGCGAAAUGGGUGUGCCCUGUGUGAAGGAAAAUCCAAGGAGAUGAAGAUCUUUUCUAUCUUAUUUUUCCUAUUUUCUAUUUUCUUUUUGGGGAUCCAGCUCUGAUUUAUACCUUUCCCACAUCCCUUCUUCUCUGGUAAAUGCAUCACAUCCCACCCCUCCAGGUCCAUAGAGCUUGGGUAAGGCUGAUUCACCUUCAGGUCCAAAAGUGAUCACCUAACUCAGUGCCAAAGUAGUCCAUCCCCCUGGCCCCACUGAUUGGUCCAGGAUGAGCCUGUGGCCUAGAUUUGGCCAAUCAGGACAUUUCAGGCCCCUGGUCCCACUGAUUGGCCCAGGCUGAGCCUGUGGCCCAGAUUUGGCCAAUCAGGACAUUUCAGGCCCCUGGUCCCACUGAUUGGCCCAGGCUGAGCCUGUGGCCCAGAUUUGGCCAAUCAGGACAUUACAGCCCCCUAGCCAUACUGAUUGGUUCAGGGAUGGGCACAUGACCAAGUUGGUCCAGUUGGAGCUAAUCCAGGGGUAUUUUUCUAGAGUCUCUCAUUAUUCCUAGACUGCUAACAGUGAGGAGGUGAGUAAGGGACUUCCAGGGACUAUCAUGAAUGAUGCCAACACCCAGGAAGCAGGAUCAGGGACAGAGACACACACCAGGCUCUGAUGACAUUGUUUGAGCCCCUGGAUCUAGCUGAGCCUGAAGCCAUAUAUCUAGUCCUGGAUUUUUGUUCCAUGAGACAAGAAAUUUCCUCUUUUGCUUAAGUCAGUGGGUUUAGCUUUCUACCAUUGCAGUCUAAAAAGCUCUGUCUGACACAAAUAUCAGGCCCGUUUGCAUUAUUUUUUUCCCAGGGGAAGAUUUCCUUGUAUCCCCACAUGAUGUCACUUCUAAGCAACAGUGUGGAA